RNAcentral lists this ribosomal RNA (433 nucleotides) under uncultured bacterium. RNAcentral's name for it is "partial 16S ribosomal RNA". It matches the Rfam family "Bacterial small subunit ribosomal RNA", at positions 29 to 507 of the family's 1533-position model. The record is from RNAcentral.
AGCGAACGCUGGCGGCAGGCUUAACACAUGCAAGUCGAGCGGGCACUUCGGUGUCAGCGGCAGACGGGUGAGUAACACGUGGGAACGUACCCUUUGGUUCGGAAUAACGCUGGGAAACUAGCGCUAAUACCGGGUACGCCCUUUUGGGGAAAGGCUUGCUGCCGAAGGAUCGGCCCGCGUCUGAUUAGCUAGUUGGUGGGGUAAUGGCCUACCAAGGCGACGAUCAGUAGCUGGUCUGAGAGGAUGAUCAGCCACACUGGGACUGAGACACGGCCCAGACUCCUACGGGAGGCAGCAGUGGGGAAUAUUGGACAAUGGGCGCAAGCCUGAUCCAGCCAUGCCGCGUGAGUGAUGAAGGCCUUAGGGUUGUAAAGCUCUUUUGUCCGGGACGAUAAUGACGGUACCGGAAGAAUAAGCCCCGGCUAACUUCGUG